This 539-nucleotide ribosomal RNA is filed under the name Candidozyma auris. Its description in RNAcentral is "[Candida] auris partial large subunit ribosomal RNA". It matches the Rfam family "Eukaryotic large subunit ribosomal RNA", at positions 52 to 658 of the family's 3401-position model. The record is from RNAcentral. Lineage: Eukaryota; Fungi; Ascomycota; Pichiomycetes; Serinales; Metschnikowiaceae.
GGAGGAAAAGAAACCAACAGGGAUUGCCUCAGUAACGGCGAGUGAAGCGGCAAGAGCUCAACUUUGGAAUCGCUCCGGCGAGUUGUAGUCUGGAGGUGGCCACCACGAGGUGUUUUAGCAGCAGGCAAGUCCUUUGGAACAAGGCGCCAGCGAGGGUGACAGCCCCGUACCUGCUUUUGCUAGUGCUUCCUGUGGCCCACCGACGAGUCGAGUUGUUUGGGAAUGCAGCUCUAAGUGGGUGGUAAAUUCCAUCUAAGGCUAAAUAUUGGCGAGAGACCGAUAGCGAACAAGUACAGUGAUGGAAAGAUGAAAAGCACUUUGAAAAGAGAGUGAAACAGUACGUGAAAUUGUUGAAAGGGAAGGGCUUGCACCCAGACACGGUUUUACCGGGCCAGCAUCAAGUAGAACGGGGUUAAAAGACCUGGGGAAUGUAGCUACCUCUUGGUAGUGUUAUAGCCCUUGGGUGAUGACCCCCGUUUUGCUUGAGGACAGCGGUCUCUAGGAUGCUGGCGCAAUGGUUGCAAGCCACCCGUCUUGAA